Solanum pennellii is the source of this 3650-nucleotide long non-coding RNA. RefSeq lists it as uncharacterized. The record is from RefSeq and is a predicted model, not a curated record. NCBI's taxonomy places the organism in Eukaryota, Viridiplantae, Streptophyta, Magnoliopsida, Solanales, Solanaceae. The transcript is spliced from 5 exons.
UUUUGAUAACUUCCGAAUUACUCUCUCACUGUCACACUUCUCUCACAACCGCACUCUCUAUAACAGCACUUCUCCGCCGUAUACAUCGCAUUUCUCUGCCGCCUCCUCACAACUCUGUAAACUUCAGCUACUCACCAGAUUCACAAUGGGAUAGGUGUUGUAAGGAAAAAAUUCAAUAGACUUUGAGUCAAAUCACUGUGGAUGAGCCUGUAGUAUCACCAGAUGAUGCAGUUGGUAAAGUGCUAGGAAAAGAGCACUCUGGAAGGGUAAGGUGUUUGGGAUUAGGAGUUCUACCCACUAGAGUUUUUAACCAAGCAAGACCUCGAUUCAAUGGUAUGAAUAAUUCAAGGGUUUCAUGUUCAUCCAAUUGGCAAGAAAACUACGACAACUUGUUCAAUGCUCACAAUCAAAUGAUGGCUGCUUUCAAGUCAUAUAUGAUUAUGAAAGAAGGGACAUUAUCAGAACAAUUUGAGGGGUUAUUUACUUCUCCUCUUACAAUGGUAAAUAUAACUUUUACAUUCUCUUUUUGAAUGAAUAUAACAUACUUGAUGAUGUAUGUCAUUAUUGUAAUACAUUCUUGUCAACUAACAUGUCUCGAUGUUUAACUAUGUCACGCCCCGAGCUACCCCCGAGAUGCGGACACGGAACCUAGGACCACAAGUGAUCCCAAACUUACCCUGCUGGCAUGAUCAUGAGCAUACUAAAGAUCUAACUUCCGUGUAUGCCAAGUACACGGAGUAAAGGAGAACCCAUACUCUCACCCGACCCCAAACUCGAGCGUACACUGCGCAGAAUGAACCAAAAUUUGGGUAUUCUCGAUGAUGAUCACAACCCUAAACUUUCAACACCGGUUGAUGCUCAUGAUCAAUUAUUACCUGAAAAUCUUGGGGAAGGUACAAAUAACACCUACCUAAACACGAACGUGUCUACUCACGAGGGCGUUCCAAGUCCAUCGCCCAAUCGAAUCGGCUGGUCGUAGGCUCAGACGAUGAGCAUGACCCGCAGUACGUGCCACCAGGCACCCUCACUCCUACUAGUGCUGCCCGCACCACCAGAGCCAUGCCCACGAGGGUGGAACCCGGCGUAGUACUGCCUCCAAGUCUGACGAGGAGCGCAUACUGAACGGCACACCUUCUGAGUUGGUUGGACAUUCCGAGGGAGCGUCUGGCUCCGUGGAGGCAUCCGGUUCUGAGGAAGCUUCUGGCUCUGUGGAGGCUUUCAGAUUUGAGGAGACUUCUGCUUGUACCUCAUCUGGUGAGGCUGAUAGUGCCGACUCUACUCUAGCACCCCAGACUGGCGUCCCCGCUCUGGUUGCUGAUCAGCCCAACCGAUGGUGUGUCGAGGGGAAGUAUCAAGUCACAUUAAUGCCAAGAUUCCCAAUGACAAGGGGUUCAUGACUCGGACCCUGACACUUGAGCGGCGGGUUCUCACGGGGAGUCUUCCCACCAUGCCAUCCAUUCAUGAGUUAUUCACUAGACAUCGGUUGGAGUGGACGACUCGAGAUGUAGGCCACUAUAGCGAGGAGAUGGUCCGAGAUUUCUAUGCCUCCUAUGUGUCGACUCUCCGAUCUCAACUGGACAGUCGGGCAGCCCCGCCAAACAUGCACCGUUAAAGUACGUCUGAGUCCGCGGCAAACAGGUUGAUAUUUCCUUGCAAGCCAUUGACAGGUUCCUCUAUGGCGCAGAUGUAGAUGCCACCCGGACCCCUCUCAUCGCUGAGUUUGACUAUCGGUGGAAGUUGAUCAAAGAUGGCUAGUUACAGCGUGAGCUAGAUGUGAGAGAGACCACCAAGCGGUGGAUUGAACAGAACCUCUCCGUAGAUGGUGAGGCUGUCGAGUGGGUGUUGGAACCCAAGAAGAGUAUCAAGAAGGCCAACCUCACCUUCACAACCAAGUUCUUAUGGCUAUUGGUCCGACACUGCCUUUCCCCUACUACUGCUGAUAACAAAGUCACCUGGGAUCGUGCAUUGCUGAUGGCGGCCAUGGUUGCGGGGUUCGAGGUGUACUUGACAUGGCUAUUGCAGGCGGUGAUACAUGAGAGGGCCUUUAAGGCCACUACUACUUACCCCUUCCCGUGCAUGAUCUUUGAGUUGUGCAUGCUGCAGGAGUGCCCAUGUGGCACAUUGAUGUGAUCAAGACCCCACCCGACACAGUGGAUAUUGGCCUUAUUUGGGAUGAGGCCAAUGAGUUGUCUCCCACAGAGGACCCCGUCCAGAGGUGCAGCCGCUCGGUGAGAACCUGACGGCCGCGGUAGAUCAAGCCCAAGCGGCUAAUCCGUCUAUAUUCGAUCAUACCAACACCACCCUGGUUGAGUCUAUCCUGGGUGCUAGCACUGCUCUGAGCUCCUCCCGCUCGACUCCUUCUGCUACACUGGUUUUGCUUGCUAGGGUCCAGAAAUUAGAGGCCCAGAUGACCACACUUCUGCAUCACAUCCAGCGUUGGAUGCAGAGGUCCAUUGCUGAGGCGGAGGAGCGGAUAGAGAGGAAGAUGUCCCAGCAUACUGAGUGGCAGAUCAUGGAGGUUCACCAGCGCUUGGAUGCAUUUUAGUUGCGGGUUCUCGCCCGGCCAGCCCCUACAGUGGAUUUGAUGACUCUCCAGGCUGCUGUGGAGAUUCUGAGAGCAAACUUGGAUACCAUACUGGAGGCUCAAGUGCCUGAGUCUCAGGCUCCUUGUGCAGAGCCUGCUAAGGACACGGUGUUAGCUGCCCUGUUCUCCACCACUGUUGUGCCACUACCUCCCCUACGAGAUUGUGCCAAAAGGCACUGAGUUAGAGAUGAGGAUGAGUCUCGGGCACGGAAGAAAGAGUGCACUGAGUUGGAGGCUGCGAGGAGAGCCUCACUGAUUUAUGAGGAGGCCCGCUAGUUAAGGGUUCUGAAGUGGCUGCUGGGGAGUCUAGCUCCACAGUUGUUGAGACUGAGAGGAGCACUACUGAUGGUGCUGUUAUUGUUGAGGACACAAAUGAUGGUGUCCCUACUAUAGAGGGAGCGGGUUCCGGGAAAUCGGACCCGUCAGCAUGUUGAUCGUCGGUGCUUUGCGCCUCAGAAAUCUGUCCAGGAUGAAAACGUGGAAGAAUUGUGCUGAAAUUGCAAAUGUGAUGACCUACAGAGCUAUCGACGGUCCAUAGGUGGACACCGUCGUUUGAAGAAAAUAUUGCUGAAGGAAAAGAUCGGAGAAUUCUGACUAAGUGUGAGGCUAUGGAGGCUCUCUACAAACCGUCACCUCCACGACGGACCGUCCUGCACAUCCGUCAUCGUUAACAGAAAGUAGCUCCAGUACCCAACUUGAAAAGAUUCUAAGUGUGGAGAAACGGAAGCCAUCGACGGAUCGUCGUGCUCUCAACAGACCGUCAUCCUUGUCCGUCGAUGGUAAUAGUGAGUUGGAGAAGAAAGCAACUGAAAAAGAAGCUAAGUGUGGAACGACGAGGGGCCUCGAUGGUCCGUCGUGGCCUCGACGGUCUGUCGAUUCGGUGGUCGACUCAUACAGGUUUUUUGGGCAGAUUUUCCUUAAAUAGAUUUCCUUUUUAUGUUAGGACUUCUUUAUUAUAAAUACUGGUAAAAACCUCAUUUUUGAGGUUAGACUCUGGGUUAUUUUUCAGAAAUCGUUUGUUGCAAGAGUAUUGAUUAAAUCAAGUAAUCUUUUGGAUUUUCUUCAA